UAGUGGAGUGAUUUGUCUUCUUAAUUGCGAUAACGGACGAGACUCGCGCAACUUGCUGGUUUUAUUGUAUCUCGCGAUACUUUGAACCUCCUCGUUGGACAACUCUUGAUAAAAGAGAGGAAGUGGCGAGCAAUAACA
This 138-nucleotide ribosomal RNA is filed under the name uncultured eukaryote. RNAcentral describes it as "partial 18S ribosomal RNA". It matches the Rfam family "Eukaryotic small subunit ribosomal RNA", at positions 1299 to 1458 of the family's 1831-position model. The record is from RNAcentral.